Molecule: long non-coding RNA, 823 nt
Organism: Drosophila sulfurigaster albostrigata
Lineage: Eukaryota; Metazoa; Arthropoda; Insecta; Diptera; Drosophilidae
Exons: 2
Source: RefSeq, a predicted model, not a curated record
CAAAGGCAAACACUAGGAAUCGCAUUUUUUUUUGUUGAAUCUGAAUAUUUUAGAAGAGCUCACGUUUGUGGCGCUCAAGCGGCGACAGCAGCAAAUAAUACACAUACACUUACGCUAUGUACACACACUCGCACUCACAUCACACACAUAUGCUAAAGAGACGAGUCAUUCGCGCUGCAGCUGAUCUUGAUGGAGAGCCCUCAGCGCCAAAAGAGCGAGAGAGUAAAUGAGUGCGAACGCGCUGUUGUUGUUGUUUUCUCUGUUGCUCUUGUUGUUGCUGUAGUAGUUACAUAUUUGCUUUGCCUUUCACGCCAAACGGCAAAACCAGAAAACCGAAUGAACAACAAACAGCACGAGACUUUAGCACACGAAAGUGAAACACAAUUUAAGCAAACGUCUGCUGACUCUAUAUGUGUGUGUGUCAGUAUUUUGCAUGUGUAAGCGUAUGUCAUGGGAAAAGAUAACACACAAAGUUGCACGAGACAAUUGACGCUGCUGCUGCUUUCAAAUGAUAAGAGAAUGCUUGCUGCAUAUGCAACUGAUAACGCAUAAUGCUGUUUGUCUUAUCAGAGACACGAAAGCACGUGUUGCCCCUGCCAUGCAAGUUAUUAACCUCAACCGCUGCACCGAAUGAAAAACAAUAAACUGAGAUUAGAUCAACUUACCCGCUUCUCAGCGCUGUCGCAUGGAUUGCCAACCGACGAUGACGAUGAGGAGGAUGUGGAUGUGGAUGUAGUUGCCGCUGUGCUCGGUAAAUGAUUUUGUGGCAAGACGGACACAUCCGAUGCCACCGAAUCCAAUUGUUCCUGCUUAAUGCCCGCGA